CCGCUGUGUGUUCAUUGAGGCUGGGGGCUCAACCACACGUGUACUUCCAGACCCUCACAAACACAUGGCAAAAAUGCAUUAUCUUAAAUCUUUUUUUUUUUUUUUUUUUUGCUGACAUGUCAAUGAACACAUUUUUCCUCAAACACGGGACAGGCCAAGAGCAUCUGGCUCCACUGACACACGAUCUUCAGAACUGGACCAGAUCAGCUGUAGUGCUCUCUCAAUGGUAGAAGCCUGAGGAUGGUUGAAAGGAAAGGAUGUACCACAGCAGUCUGUCAUCAGUGCAACUUCCAGCAAUCUUUGUAGUUAACAGACCGCAGUGGAUUUUUUUUCUCCUCAUGAAUUUACCUAAUCACUUUCUAAAUCCUGUUUCAUGCAAUACUGUGAGAAUAAUCAUCUAAUUUUGGUCUCUAAGACAAGAAAUACAAAAACAAUAGGAGGCCCAGGAAAGAAUGAAAUUUUGCCAACAGAUAUUACAAAAACAGGCAACAAUUACAGCAUAUUGACAAAGAAAAUUACUAAAACCACUCAUUAUAAAAAUAACCCAGCAUUUCCUGCUGUGAUAAUGAAUUUGUUAUUUAGACCACAUCACUGUUUUUGAAAAAUCAUCACCUGUAAUUGCUUUUCUAAGCUUGUGACAAGGGCAUUUCUCUUUUGGUGUCAUGAUGUCAAAUUAAAAGUGUGCCUUUUCAACUGGUAACACUGUCUAGGGUUAAAUAACAAAUCUUUCCAAACUCUUUACUCAAAGAUUCUUGUAUCAGUUAUGAAUGAGAAGAAAAAAAGACAAAUGUUUCUAGGAUGUCACCAGUCUUUGCCUAGCAGUGAGAAAUUCACUGUGAAGUUAUGCUUCCUGUUCUCUACUACAAAACCAACUUUUAUGUAUUUUGCAAUCCUCGUCCACUAUUCCUGCUGUAAUCUCUUGCAAAAUGUUGAAAAUUUAAAGCUCUACACUCACAUGUUUAUUGCCCUACAAUCUGAUUUACCAAAUAAAAGAAUAUGCCCAGGA
Molecule: long non-coding RNA, 1006 nt
Organism: Lagopus leucura (white-tailed ptarmigan)
Lineage: Eukaryota; Metazoa; Chordata; Aves; Galliformes; Phasianidae
Exons: 2
Source: RefSeq, a predicted model, not a curated record